GAUGAACGCUAGCGAUAGGCCUAACACAUGCAAGUCGAGGGGCAUCACAUGAAGUAGCAAUACGGAUGGUGGCGACCGGCGCACGGGUGAGUAACACGUAUGCAACCUGCCUUCAACAAGGGGAUAACCCGUUGAAAGACGGACUAAUACCCUAUAACACAGGGGUCCCGCAUGGGAAUAUUUGUUAAAGGACAACCGGUUGAAGAUGGGCAUGCGUUCCAUUAGCUAGUUGGCGGGGUAACGGCCCACCAAGGCAACGAUGGAUAGGGGAACUGAGAGGUUUAUCCCCCACACUGGUACUGAGACACGGACCAGACUCCUACGGGAGGCAGCAGUGAGGAAUAUUGGUCAAUGGGCGAGAGCCUGAACCAGCCAAGUCGCGUGAAGGAAGACUGCCUUAUGGGUUGUAAACUUCUUUUAUACAGGAAUAAAAAGGCUUACGUGUAGGCCAUUGCAAGUACUGUAUGAAUAAGCAUCGGCUAACUCCGUGCCAGCAGCCGCGGUAA
RNAcentral lists this ribosomal RNA (506 nucleotides) under uncultured bacterium. RNAcentral's name for it is "bacterial SSU rRNA". It matches the Rfam family "Bacterial small subunit ribosomal RNA", at positions 28 to 523 of the family's 1533-position model. The record is from RNAcentral.